GGUGCCCAGGGGGCUGCAGCGCUCGGCGGGUGGAGGCGGCAGAAAGGCGGUGACGGGGGGAGCGACAGAACCCCCGCGGUGAGGCCAGGAGUCCGACGGGGCACCCGGGAGCCAUCGCCCAACAGGUCCUACGCUAUCGAGAGCUUUACCCAUGGAAUCACCAGCAUGUUCUGCUUACCUUAAACUUGCUUUUUAUCAAGGAGGAGACAUCAAAGAAGAGUAAAAGAUCUGGAGGCAUCUUUCAAAGAUUUUGUAGAGAUUGUCCAUUUAGUCACAUUGUGCUUUAAAGUCUCUUUCCUUUUCCAAAGCUUUGUACUUGUCACUUUGCCCAGGAGAGUUGCUGGGCCAAUCUCCUCAGGACAAUGUUCUGGCCUUCCUCUACUCUAAGUAUUGCCACAAAAACAGUCUGCUUGAAGGGAUUUCUGCAGUCCUUAACUACACAUAUACAAAAGCAGCCUAUGCUUCUUAAUAUGCUGUUUCAGGCCCUUACAUUCCAAUCUGGCUUGCAUUGCCCUUUAAUUAUCUGUCUUCUUAUUGUGAUCAAGUGAAUUUUUACUAAUCUCCACAUUUAUUGUUAAGGUAAAUAGAUGCUGCUUUUAAUCAGUAUGGAGGGCCAGACCAAUGCAGUUUGAAGUAACUUAAGUCAACUAUAAAGGGUUCAAUGUGUGUAUAAUUACAGAGGACGUCAGCUAUUCACUCCAGUCUAAUUCAGUGUCUGUUUAGAGACAGAGCUCUUCCUUUCCCCUGCUCCCUCUCUCACCUGAUUUGCUCCCCACUGCUCUGCAAAGCCGGCAAGAAGAGCACAGUGGAGGCCAAGCCAGCAGCAGCCCUCCUCAACUUCAGGCUGGAUUAAUUUAGUGGAUUGGAACUCCUCGGCAUUUUGUGCUUCACCGUACACCUCUCCAGAGAAGUGGGAAUCUUAAGCCUGAAAGACUCCUGAGGCAAAUGGUAUUUCAGUCUCAUUGAAAUCCAGCAAAGCACCAAGCACUGAACAAAAGCCCACAGAAAUUACAGAAGAAAUAACAGGAGAGACUUGAAAUUGCCUGAAUCAUUAGGAGUUCUUACCCUGCCAUGCAGACAGGUGAGUCCUCAAAUGUUGCUGCUGCUGUUGCUAAUUCCCUGGAAUACCUGACCCAUGAGACUGAAAGGGAA
This is a long non-coding RNA of Prinia subflava (tawny-flanked prinia), 1152 nucleotides long. RefSeq lists it as uncharacterized. The transcript has 3 exons. Lineage: Eukaryota; Metazoa; Chordata; Aves; Passeriformes; Cisticolidae. The record is from RefSeq and is a predicted model, not a curated record.